UAAGUACGCGUUUUUAAUAGUUAAAGUUGGCUAGAAAACCAACUUUUUAGAAAAUAGAUAUAGCUUGAAUUUUAUUAAUUCUUGCUAUUAUUAUAUUUGCGUAGACCGGACGAGUGACUAUCGAUAUGGCUCGAGGCGAACGGAUUGAGAUAUCGUUGUGCUUAUUUGAAGAAUUUGGAUAGCAAGUGGGGUAGUAUGAUAUGAUUUGGAGAGUCAAGCUUCCGAAGUUUUAAUUCUCGGAAGUCAUUUGCACAAGAAGUGAAAGAAGGUUUUCAUUCUAGCGGUCCGCAGUAGUCUAGAUGUUUUUGUCUAUGUAUUUGUAUAACGCGUUUUAACUCUGAUAUUUUUGUAAAAUGGGGUCACAGGUAUUUUGAUAUGUGAAAUAUGAUUUGAUUUGCGAAAAAUUUA
Long non-coding RNA from Mercurialis annua (annual mercury), 408 nucleotides. RefSeq lists it as uncharacterized. Lineage: Eukaryota; Viridiplantae; Streptophyta; Magnoliopsida; Malpighiales; Euphorbiaceae. The transcript has 2 exons. The record is from RefSeq and is a predicted model, not a curated record.